UACGUAGGGGGCAAGCGUUGUCCGGAUUUAUUGGGCGUAAAGAGCGUGUAGGCGGCCAGGUAGGUCAGCUGUGAAAACUCGAGGCUCAACCUCGAGACGUCGGUUGAAACCAUCUGGCUAGAGUCCGGAAGAGGAGAGUGGAAUUCCUGGUGUAGCGGUGAAAUGCGCAGAUAUCAGGAAGAACACCCGUGGCGAAGGCGGCUCUCUGGGACGGUACUGACGCUGAGACGCGAAAGCGUGGGGAGAGAACAGG
Molecule: ribosomal RNA, 253 nt
Filed under: uncultured bacterium
Lineage: Bacteria
Description: partial 16S ribosomal RNA
Rfam family: Bacterial small subunit ribosomal RNA
Source: RNAcentral